GACGAACGCUGGCGGCGUGCUUAACACAUGCAAGUCGAACGGGAAGGCCCUGCUUUUGUGGGGUGCUCGAGUGGCGAACGGGUGAGUAACACGUGAGUAACCUGCCCUUGACUUUGGGAUAACUUCAGGAAACUGGGGCUAAUACCGGAUAGGAGCUCCUGCUGCAUGGUGGGGGUUGGAAAGUUUCGGCGGUUGGGGAUGGACUCGCGGCUUAUCAGCUUGUUGGUGGGGUAGUGUCUUACCAAGGCUUUGACGGGUAGCCGGCCUGAGAGGGUGACCGGCAACAUUGGGACUGAGAUACGGCCCAGACUCCUACGGGAGGCAGCAGUGGGGGAUAUUGCACAAUGGGCGGAAGCCUGAUGCAGCAACGCCGCGUGCGGGAUGACGGCCUUCGGGUUGUAAACCGCUUUCGCCUGUGACGAAGCGUGAGUGACGGUAAUGGGUAAAGAAGCACCGGCUAACUACGUG
RNAcentral lists this ribosomal RNA (468 nucleotides) under uncultured bacterium. RNAcentral's name for it is "partial 16S ribosomal RNA". It matches the Rfam family "Bacterial small subunit ribosomal RNA", at positions 28 to 507 of the family's 1533-position model. The record is from RNAcentral.